CAAAAAUAUUAUCAGAGGGGUGUGAAAAGUAGUGUCAAUAUAACCAUGACACUUAUUUGGGACAUCAUUGAAUACUUGAGCGAUCUUAUUCUUUGGAUAACAGGGAUGUGGCUGUUUAAAUCAACUACACCACCUAUGCCUACUGCAGUUUUUGAAAAGGAAUGGAGGAUCACACCCUGGGGUCAGAAAGAGGUAAUACUGCAGAAAUUGAAAG
Molecule: long non-coding RNA, 214 nt
Organism: Salvelinus namaycush (lake trout)
Lineage: Eukaryota; Metazoa; Chordata; Actinopteri; Salmoniformes; Salmonidae
Exons: 4
Source: RefSeq, a predicted model, not a curated record